Molecule: ribosomal RNA, 224 nt
Filed under: uncultured bacterium
Lineage: Bacteria
Description: partial 16S ribosomal RNA
Rfam family: Bacterial small subunit ribosomal RNA
Source: RNAcentral
UACAGAGGGUGCGAGCGUUGUCCGGAAUCACUGGGCGUAAAGCGUGCGCAGGCGGCUUCGCAAGUCAGGCGUGAAAUCCCCGGGCUUAACCUGGGAAUGGCGUCUGAAACUACGGAGCUGGAGUGUGGCAGAGGGAGGUAGAAUUCCACGUGUAGGCGGGUGAAAUGCGUAGAUAUGUGGAGGAAUACCGAUGGCGAAGGCAGGCCUCCCUGGGGCCAAACACU